CUUGGCGGAGGAGGAGGGGGCUGAGGAGAUGUCUGCCAUUAGGCAUGUUUAUCCUGACAAGUAGGAGAUUCGUAAGGCAAAUAUCAAAGGCCACGGUAAGCUCAGGAAGUUCAGACUGGUGUGGAUGUUCAGCCUCCUGUUUAAAGACUGCUGAUAACGGUUCUAGAAAUAGCAUCAUCUUCUAGUAGACACUUUUUCUUCUUAAAGAAAAAAGUGUAUCAUCGAAAUGAGACUGUUCGGGAAAGGAGAGGGUAUUAAUAAGAAAAGUUGUUUACUAAUAUAACUUGCCUCCUAAUGCUUUGGCAACAUUGCUUAGGUCUGAAAGGCAUUCCCCCCUCGCCCCCCCCCCCCCCCUUUUUUAAUACAAAAAUGAUAUCUGUAAAACAUGAUUGUAUAAGCCAGGCAUAAUUCCACCAGUAAUCAGGCGACUCGCUCAGCCUGGCUUGUCCUUGUUACGAACUAAUAAUAGAUAAUAAAAUAGUGUGUAGCUGUUACAGUUGUUACCAUUGUAAUCAUAUUUUUGAGGGCCAGAGAUUUUGGUGGCGUCAGUUACAGGUUUUGACAUCUAACCGUGUGAAACUCUCUGCUAGUCUCAAUAAAUGCUGCGCAGAUGCUCAUCUUGGUGCUGGAAAAACCAAUGUCAUUUGUUUGUUUCUCCAAGCAUGCAGGGAGAAAGACAAUUCAUAACAGAUACUGUCAGUCACAACUCUUCCUCUGAAACUUAGGAUCAGGCUCCAGCAGUCCUGCUGCUUAACCCAGUGCAGUGAAGAAGGGGCAAAUUUUAUGGAACUUCGUAGACCUAGAGGCACCAGAAUGUCUUUUAGGGAAAAACAGGUUCAAGAGGGCUAUCAGAUUAUUCAUAUGUGUGUAAACUCUCAAAGCUGUCAAAGCUAUCAGACAUAUUUGUAUACAAAGCCCAGUGAUCGUGUGUGACCAGAUUUUGAAUCACUGUAUACAAUUUGCCUAUAAUUUUGAUAUUUUUCAUAUUAUUUAGCUAUAAUUUGGCAGUUUGGCAUUGACCAAGACAGCUGUGCUGUUCUAUAGCUUGACCUCUCUCCAGGACAGACAAAUAUAUCAACUGCAAAGUGAUAUUAAUGCCAGAGUGUGGUUUUUAUCCUCUGGGACCGCAUUGCUAGCUUGGGAUUCAGGCUUGCUGCAGAGUGAGCUCUGGACAGCCUGGUCAUCAAGCUGUAAUUUCUUUAUCCUUCUCCUGUAACAAAAACCUUGCUUCAUUUUUUUGAAUAGCAGCAAUUUGAAGGUGCUGAGAUGUUUGUAAUAGAGGUGCUUGGAGAUGGAAAUUUUUCAGUCUGGUGGAGGAGAGAAACUAUUUGGACAUCACUGCUUGUAAACAAAGGCAUCUAUUCUCCAAAGCUCUGAGCUCUAAGUGCACUGUGUGAGCAAAUGCCCAUGUCUCUGGAGAUAACAGCAGUAAAUGUAAUCAGCUGUGUCUCAAAGCCAGGGUAACAUUUCCUUCCUGAUCUUGCCUCUCUGCCAUUUUGUUAUCAUUGAUUGCACGUUUGUCUUCUUGCAGGCGCUCCUGGUUUGCUCCUGUGUCAGCAGCAGAUUCCCCCAGUCAAGGGGACCAUGUUACAUUUGAGAUCCCUAAUGAAUGCUGCACUAAUUAACUUUGGUCCUAGAAGGUCACUGAAUGAUGCAGUGGGAUGCUCUUAUUAACCUUACCCUGAGAGUUACAAUCUGGACUGACACACUUUUCCCCAGUGUUCUGGCAGCAUCACAAGGAUUGCUGGCAAUGAAGUCACCUUCAAAGCUGAGGCAUUCGUGAAGCAAAUGCAUUUCUGGAAGCAAUUGUUCUUUUCCCCAUGCUGCCAUUGGACUAAACUUUACUGCCUGAGGAAAAGUUGCAAGCUCAAAGGAGGAGACACUGCACUGAAGACAGUAAACAGCUCAACAUGAACACAAGCUCUUUGCUUUUGCAAACUCUGCUGGGAGAACAAAAAGAAGUGUACUGAAUAAUUCAGCCUUGAGAGUGAAUUGAGCUUGAGGAGAAUUGUUGAAUUCCCAAGUCUGUGGUUUGUGGUUUUUGUUAUUGACUGCUCACAUGGAUUGAAAGUCUUGUCUCUGCAGUUGGUGGUUUUUAUCUCCCCUUCGGAUUCUGCAAUUUUAUCUGGCUUUCCAUCCCUGAACACCAGCUCUCUGUUCUUCAAAUAAACACACAAGAACCAUUGAAGCACCUUUCUGCUUCCAAGGGGAGCCAUAGAUAGCCUGCUACACUAAUAAAUCAAAAUUGAACUUCGGACCUGAAUGCUGAAGAUAGUCCUAUGAAAGUUGAUGGAGUCAUCAUGCUAAGUAUGAGGCACUCUUCCUACUAUCCUCCCCUCAUGUGCUGGAAUAUCCAAAUUCUCAAGGAAGGCGAAAGUUUGAUGUCAGAAAAGAACCUCCUGAGAAUGGGGUGUCUUAACUCACCCUGAAAUUUGUUAUUUAUAUUAACAUGCUGAUGGAACAAUAGGAGCUGGUCCUGCAUUUUAUGCACUGGCAGCCAAUAAGUAAAAAAAAACACCCAAGUUAAUAUCAUUUGAGAAUUUGUAAAUGAACAAAAUAUAGAGCCCAUUUUCUGCAAGGUGGAAUGAUGAUGCAAUACCUGUCACUGAAAGUAGCUUGCCCAGAAAAAUGUUGUGAGAGCCUAGCCAGUAGUCAGGACUCUGUAUAAAACCUGAACCAUGCUCAUCAUUUCUUAAAGCCACUGAAUAAAGUAAAUGUUAUUACCUCUAAACCAUUUUUCCCUAGCUCAAAAAGCAGAAUCAAGUGCAGAAAAAAAAAAUAUAGCCUGAAAAUUGUUAUCACACUGUCUAGUAGAACUUUUAUUUAAUUAACUCUUAUUGACAAUCUCACUGAGUAGUAUAGUUCAUAUAAGUAAAUAUCUGAGCUCAGUCAUAAUGUGGACUGCAGGAAAGCUCUGUUAAUGUAUUUCCACUGAGCUGCUUGCAGCUAUAAAUUGACAUUUCCUAACCAAAAGAAAGAAAAAAAAAAAGUUUGGCAGUUUUGUGAUGAAUUUUUAAGAGAAUGCUAAGGAAGUGACUUUGAGUGAGGAGGAUAUGGUCCCUUAUCCUUGAACUUGAAGAGAUAACAGAACCUUAACCUAAAAAAGGAAAAAUACCAAACCAAACCAAACCACAGCCCAAACCAAAUUCUUACUACCCAAGGAAAAAACCCUCAUUUUUGAUUCAUGGUAAAUUAAUGCUUUGUAACUUAGAGAUAUCACUAGUGUUUCUGUAGUCAUGGACUUCUUUGAAAGACAGCUAAAUCUAGAAAACUUUCUAAAUUAAGUGACAGGUCAGAUGGGAUCUGCUUGCAAGUGAAACAAAUCCACAAGUCUCCUUGUGGAAGGAUGAAAAUUUUUAUUCCUUUUAGAUCUAUCUUUAGUUCUGAUUAACAUAUAAUCAAAUAAACUGGAGUCCAUCCAGAAGGCAGUUUUGGUUAAAAAUAGUCAGUUAACUGCAUCAAGAAUAUGCUUUCUGCAAGGCAUUCUUGAGUAGGAAAUGUAGAAAUGGUGUCUGUUCUGGGCUAAAAAUCCCUUUCGCCACAAGCAGGAAUUCAAAUCAGAGUUGCAGCACAUGCAUGCACACUGUUUCAAUUGCCAGAACACUUCUGGUUUUAGUUAAAGGGAACAACCCAUGUCCCUAAAGGCUGGUGCUUCCCAGUGUGAACCAGGGCUGCCCCUGGAGGGGUCCUGGAAUGCUGGUGUGAGGAUCCUGAGGCAGAAUCCAUUCCUUAAAUCUCUGGCUAAGGAUGAAAACCUUACCUUGAAACUGCCCAGCUUUUAUAACAGCUGACUUGGGCACAGCCUUGUUUCUGGGCAAGGGAAUGACAGGAAUAACAAAUCCCUCUUAUCCAGGUGAAGGAGGAGAGGAAGGAAUCCCAGGGGAACAAUAACAAGUCCCUCUUAUCCAGGUGAAGGAGGAGAGGAAGGAAUCCCAGGGGAACAAUAACAAGUCCCUCUUAUCCAGGUGAAGGAGGAGAGGAAGGAAUCCCAGGGGAACAGGGUGCUUUGGCCACACUGUAACUGGUGGUACCUCGGUGCCAUGUGUGCCAGCCUCCUGUUCUUGUGCAGCCACAGCACCCAGAGCCGGGCAUCAAUCAGCACAGGACAGGGAGAGUUGUAUGGGAUCUUGGGCAUCUCCCUUCCCAACAGACUAGCAAACAGCUCCUCUGCCCUAUUGCAGUUGAAACACUGGGGGAAUAAAUGAGCUGUGCUGCUGUGUGAGAUACUUUUGAGGGAGAAGCAGGUAAGCUGUUUCUUUGGCAGAGGCAUAAUUUAAACUUGUGACUGAGUCCCUUGUGUAAAUGAGUUUUUCCAACACAAUAUAAACACUUCCAUCAGCAGAAUCGUGUUUUUUAGAAAUGUAUCUCUUUGUGAUGCUGAGGCAAAGGACAUUGCAAGACUGCUUUAUUUGUUGUAAUAAUUAUAACCUAUCCCUUAGAAUAGUUUUUUUCCCACCCUGUGAUCACCUCCCCAAACAGCUAGGAGCUAUUUUUCCUUCUCUGAGGAUGUUCUGAUGAAGCUGAUGCUGUGUGGUCGGUCCUGGCCACCUGCUUUACUUGGUCAUGUGAAUGUUUUCCUGAGUCAUACUCCCAAAAUACAUUGUUGCCUAAAUCUAGGGAAAACUGACAAUCGGUAGCAGUUGAACUUUCAUGUUACAGCAGAACUUAUGUUAAAAAUAAAUUCUCACAAACGAUUACUUUCUGGAAUACAUUAAUUGCUUGCUAAGAAACUAGGUAAGCACCUAGUUCACCAUGUGAGAAGGGCUUCUCUUGCCAUUAAUUACUCCAGGAACUAAAGUCCACACCAAAACACUACAUAGGAAAUUGAGAUUAAUGUUCCAUACUUUUCUGGCUAAAUAUUGAAGCUGUCACAGAAAUGUUCUCCAGCCUAUGUCAGCUGCUGCUAGCUUUCAGAGCUCAUUCUUCUUUAGGCGCUGAGAUUUUCAGCUCUUUUCAACCCAGGAAUAUCUCUGCAGCCAGAAGAGUUAAGGUUGCUUUAGCAAGGCAGAGGGCACAGGCCUCAUCUAUAAGUUGUUCUCUGAGCCAGAACCUGUGGGAAAAAAUGUUUUCUGUGAUGAAAUUACUCCUGGCCUCACCUUUUCCAAUGUGAUCUUUGUGAGGUGCUGUUUUACUGAAAUCCUGCUGUUUUGGCUAUUAUGGAUUUUGAUUUUGGAACAGUGCCUGCCUUUGGGAGAGGAUUCUGAACAGUAUUCCAGGUGGCUGGUGGAGCCCACCUUGGAGUCUGGAGGAAAGAGGGGAAAUGUAAAGUGGGGUGCUGGUCCCAGUAUUCCCUAGGGCUGUCUCUGCAGAGCUGCUGGGAGUGGGUUGAUGCCAGCAGUCCCCUUGGUCAGUAACAGAGCUAGUUUGAAUUUUGCUGAGGUGUGUGCCUGACUCCAUGGAUUUUGUGUGAAAGCCAGUGGCCUCUUUCCCCCAUACUUGAAAAUAAAAGGUGAAGAAUGCAUAAUCCACUCUGGACUUGUGCUGGCUGGAACAGGGUUUGGAACACAAACUUAGGCUUCUGGGGAGAAGCAAACAGAGUGAGUUGACAAUGUGAAGCCAUUGCAAAAAGAGACAAAUGUGACUCUGCAGUUUAUGGUGAGGAAUAUUGCAUGAAAGACAAAGAACGUAAUUGUUCUGAUUUGAAAUUGCCGAUGCUUCAUCUAACAAAAGUUUUGGAUACUGCAAUUUCAGAUACAGACGAGUUGAAGAGUCUCCAGAAGAAAAGAAAGAAAAAUAAUCUUACAAAACAAUGAUUUGUAAGCAUUUCCUGUGAGAAAAAGCUAAAAGAAAUAGGUUUCAUAAGCUUUUCUAAAAGAGAAUGAUGUUAUGACUGUGGAAAAAUUGUUGGUUUUGUAGCCAGGUUUUCUGGCUUCUUCAAAUAGAAAUUGAGUGUGAUUACAUGGAAAAAUGGGGCAAAAUAUAAUCAACACAACAUAUAGGGAAAGUAAAUGCAGUUUUCUAUUCAAUAGAAGGGGAUCUAACCAAAAAAGAAAAGAAUUGAAGUGAGAAUGCAUUUUUGUCUCAAAUGAAAAUCGUGCAAAAGCAUUUUACAUUGAUGUCUUAAAAGUGGUUUAGUUUAGCAAAACUUUCUUUUGAUUUAAAAUAUUUUUCUUGAGUGAAUAAGCGUGCCUUGCUGUUGAAUGUGUAUUAAGUUCAGAAAAAACAUAAAAGGUUGUCCUAAUUUUCCCAAAUGCAGCCUAUCUCGGGUCAUUCAAUAUCCAGUGCAGCUCCCACCAAAUUCCUUGUGAAGAAAGUGGUGACUUUUUCCACACUGUAAAACAGCCUUUACUCCCAAAGUUGGGUAAAAGCAAAGGGAUCUGUGGGGGUGCCUGUGUUUGGGGUAUUUCAGUGCGUGGUAGCAGUCAGUUCUGGGAUUUGUUUCUCUGUGCGGGGUCUGGGGAUUUUAGUUCAAGGUGGAUCUCAUCUUGUUCUCUACAUCCUAAGUUCCCGCUGUAAAUUGUGGGCUCACUUCAGCACUGCGGUGUUGCAUAGAACCAAGGGAUUAGAAGAUGAAACCUUUACAGUUCUUUCUUUGAAUCACACAGUGGACUUAACUUUUCACACUUUCUCUUUUUUCACCUUUACUCCAAAAAUGGAAAAUGAUUAAACCAGACAGGUAUGUCUACUUCUCAGUGUAUACUUUAUCAAAGUGCAGAUGUGAGCAAACUAAGGAAUAUGUGAUAUGAUUUUUUAUUGGUAAUUCUCUUUACUGAACUGUCAGUGGUGACUUAAAUUUCUCUACAUCACAUAACAAAGACGUUAUUGGUAAUAUCUUUGCUCUUCCUUGGCAGACAUGCCAAAUAUCAAGCGUACAGAAAUUUAAUCUCAUUAUUGAUAGCAACUAGACAUUUUUAAGAUAUCCAUCAAAAAGAUCUUUGAACUUUUUGUUCUGUCCAACAACUUUAUACUCAGAAAACAAGGAGAAAUUAUAAUUAAAUAUGAUCACCGUGUUUUUCCAAAUGCUCAUCUGUCUCUCACAGGAGAUUUUAACCUUUGAUCAAAGUAUCUAAAACUACACAGUAAAGACCUUGAUAAUUAACAAGUCAAGAUUUACACUCAUUUCUCACAACAUAAGCCAUAUUCGUGGGAAUGUAGAAACAGUCUCUUCUGAGUGGAUUUUCUGCUUUUCACAUUGAAACCAACAUUGAUUAAUAAAUUUUAAUUAACUUACUGUAGCCUUACAUUAUCAGAGUGUAAUUUCUUAAGCUGAGAG
Long non-coding RNA from Motacilla alba alba, 7213 nucleotides. RefSeq lists it as uncharacterized. The record is from RefSeq and is a predicted model, not a curated record. NCBI's taxonomy places the organism in Eukaryota, Metazoa, Chordata, Aves, Passeriformes, Motacillidae. The transcript is spliced from 5 exons.